Molecule: ribosomal RNA, 484 nt
Filed under: uncultured bacterium
Lineage: Bacteria
Description: partial 16S ribosomal RNA
Rfam family: Bacterial small subunit ribosomal RNA
Source: RNAcentral
UGGGGAAUAUUGCACAAUGGGCGCAAGCCUGAUGCAGCCAUGCCGCGUGUGUGAAGAAGGCCUUCGGGUUGUAAAGCACUUUCAGCGAGGAGGAAGGUGGUGAACUUAAUACGUUCAUCAAUUGACGUUACUCGCAGAAGAAGCACCGGCUAACUCCGUGCCAGCAGCCGCGGUAAUACGGAGGUGCAAGCGUUAAUCGGAAUUACUGGGCGUAAAGCGCNCGCAAGGCGGUUUGUUAAGUCAGAUGUGAAAUCCCCCGGGCUCAACCUGGGAACUGCAUUUGAAACUGGCAAGCUAGAGUCUCGUAGAGGGGGGUAGAAUUUCCAGGUGUAGCGGUGAAAUGCGUAGAGAUCUGGGGGAAUACCGGUGGCGAAGGCGGCCCCCCUGGACGAAGACUGACGCUCAGGUGCGAAAGCGUGGGGAGCAAACAGGAUUAGAUACCCUGGUAGUCCACGCUGUAAACGAUGUCGAUUUGGAGGUUGUG